AUCUAGCAACCAAACACAGCGACAAUGUGGGCAUCGCCCGCGCCCAUUGAAACGCGCGCUGGCCGCCCAGGGGAGCCGGGCCAGGGCCCCGGCGAGCACCCAUCCGCGCCCCCCAACGCCAAAGCGAAACUUCGGCGGCCCCCUCCCCGCCCCCCACCCCCAGCCUUGGCCCCGAGGCGCUUUGUGUUUGUAACUGUUUGGUGUGUAGCACCCGCGAGGGGAUCAGAGAGACAAGAAUUACAUCUUCAAAAUGAGUCAUAACUCCUGACCGUAUGAGGGAAUGCACACGGCGGUACAGUAAGACCGCUUGACUCAGGGCUAGGCGGACCCUUUCCUCCGAAAAGUCCUCAGCCCCAAGCUCGGGAACUUGGGAAAGGAAAGAGAAAGUCCAACCGCUACGGCAAUACUUUUAAGCUCUACUAAAUGAUCGUAUCCUUUCUGGCUUCGAAACUUUUGUACCUAAAAAUCGAGAGAGGCGCUGCAUUUUUUCAGCUGAAACUGUCAAAACUUGGAGAAGGGGAAACUCGGAGGCAGGCAGGAGAGGAAGAGAAUCCUGAAAACUCGGUGGAGGUAGGGAAGAUGCUGUGCCUCGAGGAUUAGUUUAAACAGGGGGCUAUAAAAGAUGUAACAGAUGCAAACUGUAACACAAGGGCCCUUAACCCUUUCUCUGCCGGACAUACUCAGUCCCCACGCCCCGCACCUAUUGUCUCCUGUGCUCGAAGCUUUGCAGAAAACCUGGAAAACUCACAUCCCUACUCAAAAUGAGAAAAUUAGAAAAGGAGGAUGGAGGACGAGCACACCAAAAAGGGAUAAAAUGAGAGAAAAUGGGAGGAAAAAAAAACCUACCUGCGAAGUCUUGUUUGUAGUUUUGGCCAGAAAUGGUGAGAAGAAAAAGCAUGAAGAAGCCGCGAAGUGUGGGGGAGAAAAAGGUGGAAGCGAAGAAACAGCUCCCGGAGCAAACUGUACAAAAACCUCGCCAAGAGUGUCGGGAGGCAGGACCGUUAUUCCUGCGGAGCAGGUUAGAACUGAUCUCUUUCGGCCACUCUAGGAAACACAAACCUGGGGACGGACUGACGUGUUACGCCUCUUCUAAUGACAUUUUUUUCUUUUUCUUUUCUGUAGGAGAGAGACGAGAGACCCUGAAACACGCGCCACCUAUCUUUGUGGGGAGGGAUAAUUGAAGCGCCCUGAGCGUGAGCAUCAUGUGAAAACGUGAUCGCCAAGUUUCUCUCUGGGAAAGGAUCUGGGAUAGAUUAUACCUUGAAGUCUCCGCAAACGCUUUAGUGGAAGAAAUGAAAUUCCACCUCCCUCCCUUCCUCUCUCCCUCCCUUUCGCCUUCGCCUCCCUCCCUCCCUCCCUCCCUUUUUCUCCCCCCCCCCCCCCCCCCGCCCGCCCGUCAAGCCUUUGGCAUCAUUAUCCUCAUCACUAAAUCCUACAGAGUACAGGGCGGAAAACCGUGCACACCAUUCACAGAACUGGAGAACUCUAAGGGGCGAAAGUUAAAGGGAAAGAUCCCGGGUCCUCAAAUCUCAAAUCCAGAUCGUCUCUUCUUGUACAGAUAUCUCUAAUGAUCAGAUCUGAGAUGCACAACAAAUUCUGUGGAUAUCUCAGCACAGCUUCUGGAACAAAAUUAGCUAUCCUUUCUCUUAUUAUUAUUAUUAUUAUUUUCUUUUUAGGUACCAGAGCCAGAAAAAAAAAAAAAAUGCAUGAGAGCGGCAUCUUAGGGCAUGUGUGUUAGGGUGUGUGUGUGAUGAAUUUCUGGAUUGGAUCCUAAUAUUAAAAAGUAGUUUGGCAUUUUAAUAAAGGAUCUCUAAGUAAAUUAACAUAGAACACUCCCGAUCUCUGAAUCUCUCUACAUCUUAGGGAGACCUCACUAUAAAGUGAGGGAGAGAGUGUAAGGAGGCAGGAGGAGAAAAGAGAAAGGCCACAGAGAAACUUAGCAGGGAAGGAAGAGCAUGAUAUUAAACGGCAUGGGGUCUAAGUUUUGGAGUAUAUAUUUUUUGAUAUUACAAUUAAAGUAAAAUUAAAAAGAAAAGACUCCACCUUUGCUCUGAAGGGAUUGGUUAUGCAAAUAUGGAAGGGAUUUCCUGGAGAAUACAGCUUUCUACUGUAUGGUUAAUUAAAUAAUCACUCAAAAGCUUCCAACGUGACGCUUCUGUCGUAAUCCAAUCAGGUUACAUAGGUCCUAAACAAGAAAGAUAUUUUCCACAUCUGGAAGUCAGCAAUUUAGCAAGUACUGCACAUUAUUAACCAAUUCAGAGCCCACUUCCCAGGGGAAUUUUUUUGAAGUUUAAGUGUUCUUAACCAAUGCUCUGCUGUUUUGUUAAUCAAAAAGCUGGUUUACACUGCACAUAAUUGGAACUAAUAUAGAAGUAAAUAAAGACAGCCAAAUUUGAGGAUGCUGAGCACAGGCAUUUAUCGGAAAAGGAAGAAAUCUCCUUUCCUCGGAUGGUUCAGGCUCAAUUUCUUAAAGAACUGUAAGACUUUUUUUCCCCCUAAAGAGUGAAAGUGCUUGAGAACCUCAGAGCACAAAUAAACUUCUAGUCUCACAGCAUUUAGGAUCCUUUGGAAAGGUAAAGGUGGAGGAGGUGUGAAGACCAGAGAGCUGCCUCGCACCAAUUUUUAAGCUUUAAUAUUGUUAAAUACGUUACACCCUCCUGUUUCCAGUCUGAUGAAAUCUGAAACAAAUAAUACCCUGAUCCAACACUAUAUUAAGAUAAACUGCUUUGAACUAUGCUUUGAAUGUGUGCCUAAAGCAAGACUUUGAAUGCAAGAGUCACUGGCAAUUGCACUCAAAGGAGGGACAAACUACCACAUGGGUUGCCACAUCCACACUCCCAGAGGUACACGUCUUUGUAUUUUGUAUGUUUUGGGGGGUAGGGUGGGGAGGGGGUGGUUAAUAGCUACCAAGCACGACCACAGCUAGAUCUUGUUCUAGGAUGCAAGAAAGAUUUUCACAGUUGGUUACAGACUCACCUCUUUCCUAAUUUAAAUAUUUAUUAUAAUAGCUGCUGGAUAAAUUAACUCUCUCCCCCCACCCCAUCACAGAUAAAGUGUCUAUAGAAGAAAGGUAUUCAGGAUCUUCAGCUUAAAAUUAUUGAUAAAUAAAAUCAAAUAUUUUCAACAUGGGUCAGAUACAUUUUGAAUUUUAUAUUUUACAUUUCUUUCACUGUUAUAUAGCUAUACUAAAUAUAUGUGUGACCUAUCAAGUUCCUCUUCUAAGAUUUAGCACCACUGUUCAUGUCCAUUUUUCUUCUCCUUUUUUUCUCUUUUUUAAUUUAAAAAAUUGGAGUCCAGCUUUCUCUAGAAGUUUGCUUUACAGCCACUCCUCUUUCACUCCUAAGGAAGAAGGAGCCCAUUGCCUAGAGUGAUUCCAGGCAAUACUCUUCAGGCAUCCAGGUAGCCAUUGGAAGCUUACAGCCCAGACACACACAAGCGUAACCUCAGGUCAAAGGAUCUAACCGAAUAGCUAACAAAACACUUGUCUUUAUUAUGUAUAUUAAAUGUCAAGUUACUUAGGAUCUGACUUAAAAAAAAAAAAAAAGACCCUUAAGUAUUUCCACUGAAAACACCUAAUCAUCUGAUUACCCUGGACUCAGUAAUCGUUCACGUGGCAGGAGACAGUCCCCAACAUGUAGCACUGGGAGUUCCGACUGGCCAGUAUUUGAUUUGGGGUGAAAAAGCAACCUUCCAAGUUUCCAUAAAGGUGGAUGUUUGGAUGUUGGCACGGGAAGGGUCUCUCAGAGGGGUGAGCGCGCGGCUAGGUUGCCCCUCGUUCCUGACUGGCACGCCCCUCCCCAGGCAUUUGGCCGAGAGAGUUCCCAACGUGGCAGAGGUGAUGGGGUUGGGUGGAAGCCGGAAUAUAAAUUUGUUCCGAACAUUCUCUCAGUCCGAGGGCCAGGUCCGGGGACAAUGGGGAUCGUGGGAUCAGGGGGAUGCAGGAGCGCAGGACGCAGAGAAAAGUCGAGAGAGGACUGGGGGCUGCUGGCUUUCGGCUCCUCACACAGCAAAAUAAGUCCUGCAAAUGAAUCGCUCCUUCUCUCUGUCUUCCCCAUUAAUAAUCCACUUCGAGAUUAGCGCAGACGAAAGAGAUUAAAACAACAGAUACACGGAAAUGUGAAAUAAUAUUGCAAUCAACAUUGAAGGGGGAAAAAUAAUUCUUUAGGGUUUCCAUGGGCAAAACAAACUGCCUGCCUACCUCAGGAUUCCCUCCACCCAGGCAGGGUGAGAAGGAUGCACUUUUGUUUUCCAAUUCCCUCCAGCCAAGACCUGAUGCCUGUCCCCCCAUUCACCUCUCAGUCUGUCAAUUUCCUCAACUUUCACAGCCGCUCCCCCCUCCCCCGCUCAGCUUGGCGGCCCAGAUGCCCGAAGAGAUACAAUGUUUCUGCCCUUGAAUACACAGGCUGUAGAAGGAAUUGGAAUUUGGCCAUAGUUAAUGAUUUUUUUUAAAGCAAAUUCUGUUUAUUUUGUACCAUGUGGAGAGAAUAAAAAAAGGAACCUAUUCUCGUUUUGAAAUGGAACUGAUCUUUCAUCUGGAGGAAUUAUUCGACCUUGUGUUGUGACUCAGGAGGUGGGCAACUUCUUUUGGAGUUCCAAGCAAAGGGUGAUAAAGGGGACCCUGCAUUGGGUGUGUGUGGAGGGGGUGGGGGGCGGCAGGGGUCCAAGGCAAGCCAAACGGUUUUCUCACGUGCAGACUCGCAAUCCAAUCCAUUCGGAGUUGAGCCUAGGAUAGGAGGGGAAAGUCUAUUAAAAAAAAAAAAAAAUCAGGAGCAUCUCUCUGAGAAGCCCUUUCAAACAAAACCAAAACAGAACCAGAGAAGCUCAGACCGUCCCUAACAUCCCUGCUGCGAGACCCGCAGGCUGUGGAAUCUCGCACGUCACCUGGUCCCAGCAGGGCUGCCAGCUGAGGGGUUUAUUUUAUUUUAUUUUAUUUUUUUGAAGUAAAGGCUGAAUCUCGGCUUCAGGGCUUUUGCCAACGUCUCCACUGACAGGAACCAGCAAACUUCAGGACCCAAAUGAGCAUCUUAAUUUAUUGAUGCUAAACAGGUCAAGACUAACCACCAGACAUUUGGACAUCAGCAUAGGAGACUGGGUGUGACCUGUACCUUUUUUCUCCCUCUGACAAUGGGACCAGAAAUGGUUUGCACCUGCAAAUUGUCUAGUGACCUGGAGAUUACUUCAUGCUUGCUUCAAGAUCCUCCUGCCUUGACCUCCCAAAGCCCUCGGAUUACAGGCAUGAACCACCACAACUGGAUCGCCUUUACUCUCAAUCAAAUUGUUUAUGACAUGCAAUCAGAUAACUUUCAAGGUGAAGAAUUCAGUUCUUAAAUACACAGUGCUUGUUAACCUAUCUAGAAAAGGAAACGGUCAACUGGAGACUUUGGUUUGUUGCAGAAGCUGUUGGUUUUGAUCUGUUCCUCCUUGGCACCAGGGGAGGUUAGGAAGAGCGAAUCUAAACAAGAUUGGCAAAAAAGCUUCACAUGUGAGAUAAAUGCACUCAAAGAUUCCUCACAAGUAGCUCUUUGGAGCUUCAGAUGUGAAAUGGAUCAUUCCUCAAUCUGUAAUAGACCCUUCUGUGAAGCUCUUCAAUCAAACUAGAGAAUUCAAGGCGUUUUGUAGCAUCCUAAACAGAAGGAUAUUGCAGGGAGCUGAUUCUGCUUUGAUCCUUGUGCUUGUUGUCAAAGCGCUUGGGAUUGAAGAGACUGUUGGCUACAAUUGACUGUGACAAUUAGGAGAUGAUCAGAGCCCUAGAGUGGAGCACUUAAAGGGUUUGCAUUUAAAACACUCUUGGAGCACCAAUUGUCUAAAAUUCUGAGCUGCAGAAGUCUGCUUCAUGAUUCCUCAGGCCUAGCAUGGGAAUAUAGGGAAACUAACACCUGCUGGGGCAAUUACCUAUGUGGUUUUGGAUUUGAUGACCAGUUUCUUUUGAUUGGAAAUUACUAUGUUAACUCUGACCUGGAAGACAGUGAAUUUAGAAUGCCCUGUUGAUCUGAACGUCUUGAUCACUGCCUUUGGUGGGCUUUUUAUUAAGCUUGAUGUAGACUUGACUCCUGGAAGCUGGAGAUGCUGACCUCCAUUUUGAAAACGGAAAAUAAAAGCCACAGAUCUAUGAAGGUCUAAGGCGAAGUUCAGAAAAGCUGUAUCGACUGUUGAGACCUGGCGACUUGUUUAAAUUUCAUUAGCCUCACUUCUAUGAACUCUCAGAGCUGAUUACCAACUCCUACCACUUUUAACCCUCAUCCAGGAACGAACUUAUGUGUUUCCCAUUCUGAGUGGGCUUCAACAUCCUUGCAUAUGUUCAGUUCUUAAAAACCUGUUGAAAUGAGAGAUCAGGAGACAUAGGAAGAAUGGCAGAAGAGAGUGUGGUCUGCUGGAGUUUCCUGGUGGUACAUUCCAGAUGCUGUUUGCCUGGGUAUUACUGGCAGAGGCUGCAGAACAGCAAGACUACUGCCCGUUCCUUCCUCUGGAAGCUUUGUCCCAGAGUGACACCCGUCAGAUGCCAGCCAGAGCUUUCCUGUAUGAAGUGUCGGUCAGCCCCUCCUGGGAGAUGUCUCCAAGUCAAGGUACAUCGGGGUCAGGGGCCCACUUGCAGAGGCACUAUGUCCCUUAAUCGAGCUCAAACACUGUGCUGGGAGAUCUGAUGCUCUCUUCAGAGCCAUCAGGCAGGGAUUUUUAAGUCUGCUGCAGUUACUCUCUCAGCUGCCCCUUCCCCCAGGUGCUCUGUCCCAGGGAAAUGGAAGUUUUAUCUAUAAGUCCCUGACUAGGGCUGUUGCCUUUUUUUCAGAGAUGUCCUGCCCAGAGAAAAGAUGCAGUCUGGCUAUUGUGCAACAGUGAGCUCACCCCAGUUUGAACAUUGCGUUGGUUUUGUCUAUACUGUGAGGGUAAAACUGCCUACUGAAGCCUCAGCAGUGGUGGACAUUCCUCUCCCCACCAAGCUGGAGCAUCUCAGGUUAAGCUCAGAUGGCUGUGCUAGCAGUGAGAAUUUCAAGCCAGUGGAUCUUAGCUUGCUGGGCCCCAUGGGGGUGUGACCCACUGAACCAGACCACUUGGCUCCCUGUCUUCAUCCCCCUUUUCAGGGUAGUGAAUGGUUCUGUCUUGCUGGCAUUCUAGGCAAUGGGGUAUGGAAAAAAACUCCUGCGGCUAGCUUGGUGUCUACCUAAAUGGUCACCCAUUUUUGUGCUUGAAACCCAAGGUCCUGGUGGCAUAGGCAACAGAUGGAAUCUCCUGGUCUGCGGGUCACAAAGACCAUGGGAAAAGCACAGUAUCUGGGCCAGAGUGCAUGGUACAGUCUCUAAUGGCUUCCCUUGGCUAGGAGAGGGAGUUCCCUAACCCCUGUAGUUCCCAGUGAGGUGGCACCCCACCCUGCUUUGACUCACUCUCCGUGGGCUGCAUCUAACCAGUCCCAAUGAAAUGAACCAUGUACUUCAAUUGGAAAUGCAGAAAUCACCCACCCUCUGUGUCAGUCUCUCUCUGAGCUGCAGACUGGAGCUGUUCCUACUCUGCCAUCUUGCCAGCAAGUCCCAAUUAUGACUUUCUUUACAGAAAUUUUAAGUGGAGUAAGCUCUGAACUUGAUGAGUGUAAUUUAGUUGUUCAACUAUCAGUAGCACUACUGGGACUCUCUGAUGGAAGAUUCACUCAUGGAAUUGAGAUGAAAAGCAUCCAUAAAUCAGUUGACAAGAGAAAAAUCUGCUAUUGUAUAAGAGAUAUAACAGUGUCUGUUACCUCAAGAUUAUGAAGAUUAUAUAAUCUUUGGUCAUUCAUGCCAUUGUCUUUAUCACCAGCAGAAUAAUAGCAAUAUCAACCAAUGCUAUAUGGAUUUGCUUCUGGAUAUAUGGAAAAAAAGAGAUUAUGAGACCACCACUGAUUUUUAAAAGCAUAACAAUCUAAUGGUAAAUAUCAAAAUUAGGAAUAACAUUUUAAUUUUCAAAAAUAUAUGUUUUAUGAUGCUUUCUAGUUUAAUUUCUAAUAAGGUUAAACCCCUCACCCAUCCCAAAAUGACCUACAACCCACAAGUUUUAUCUCAUAUUUUGAGAAUCUCAUACUGACUUUGGUCUUUUUUACUGAAUCCAUAAUACUGUGGUUCACUCACAUUUUAUCCUGGUAUUAUAAUGCUAUAAUUCAAUUCAACAGAAUGCUAUUAUAUUCCAUAAUCUUAUACCAUAUAUAAUAGUUUUCUUUACUUCGUUCCUUUCUCUUUGGUUUCAGGAUUGUUUAUCUAAUUGGGAUGUUUUUCUUUCAUUUUUUUUUCAGUUUUUUCCAUAGUCUUCUCAAAUUACAUCUUUUAAAGUCUCUCUCUCUCUCUCUCUUUUUUUAAACACUAUUUCUCUCAUCCCUAGUUACUCAUAUUAUGUUCUUUAAUGACAUUUCAUGUUAUAAAACUCUAGGAAUGAUGUACUAAUGGGACAAUACUCAAAGUAUGGAUUCAAGAGAAUAUGCAUGAAAAAAUCACUUGUCUGCUCUGGUAUUGGUUGCUGGUGCUAAUUUAUUUACACUCAUUGUUUGUAAGUAUCUAGGUGAAGACAAAUAUCUCAACUAAACUAUUUAUUUUCAGAGGUGAUUAGAACUCUAAGAAGUAUUUCAGGAUGAUACUAAGAGGCUGUAGUUAUCGACUGUGGUGUAUAUAUCAGAUUGAAGCCCGGAGCAUGGCCACAUCAUUAUGACAGUAGUUUAAGUUGUUAAGAAGCUCAAGGACCAACAAGUGAGAAUGUAAUUCUCUAUCAGGAUUGCCAGCUGUUUUUAAGUGUUUGGAGACCAAGAUGAAGACCACAAGAAUCAGUGGCAGAUUGUCAAAGCAAUGAUGCAGAAGCCUACCAUUACCGUUAUGAGCCACAAGAGGUACAAUUGUGUUUCCUGCAAUGACGAAAUCCUCACUGAGCUCAUUGAAAGCCUGGGUAUAAUUAGUUUGAAAACAUUUCUGGAAUUCAAAACUUUUUUUUAAGGAAAAGAAUGAUCUGAAUAUAUAGCAUAUGCAGUAGUGAGUUUGUGAGAGGAAACUGGGAAAGUCAUUUGCACAGUUCUUUUACUGACUUAAACAUUCUUAAUUAGAUUUGUGGGUUUUAUAUGAGAAUGGAUAAAGGGGCAUACUGCUAAACUUUUGCUCUAAAAGCUUUUACUUUGGAGCUGAAUGUAGAUAUGUGCGCUUCUACUGGCAAAUUUAACAAGAGAGAAACAUCUAUCAGAAUUCUUGUAUUUAAAUCUACCUCCAUUCACGGCAGUUUCAAAGAUUAUGACAAUAAUCUGAAACUUGAAUUAGAUGCAAAUCUAGAGUUGCAAUAGUUAUGCUAAUUCUUGCAGAGAGAGAUUAUCAUAUUAUCGCUUUUAUUCAUCUUCCUUUUAGCCUCUUUUAGUGAAUUAGUCCCCUUUUAUUAAAUAAUAAAACUCUUACUUUCAACAUGACAGAUAGAAUCCUGGCUUCAGGGUGAUGGCUAUUAAAAUAACCCAUGCCUAAACCCAGAAUUACACAUGUUCUUUCCUACUAUAUGCUUCUAAAAUAGCCAUUCUAUGUGUUACUAGAGAACCCAAUAUGUGGUUACAACAGGUAUGUUAUACAUAAGGGAGUAUUUAAGACUUUCGAACUAGAAAUUGGGUCAAAUAAUGGGACCUUAAAAAAAGUGUAUAGUCUUCUUCCCAUGCAAAAUAUGAGUAAUAUUAUCUAAUAUCUAGGAUUGUUGAGAAAAUUACACAUGAUGCCUAUACGUUUCUUAAUGCAAUACCUGCCAUUUCAUAAAUAGUCAGCAAAUAAUAGCUAUCAAAAUUAGAAUUGUUUUAAAUUAUUCUGGCCCCCCAUGGUUCACACAAAGUCUUUUUUUUAAAACCACAAAUUUACCACUUAGUGAGGUCAAGGCAAUUUGGGAUACCUCUGUCUGAAGUGGUUGGUUAAGUUUACCAUGAAUAGUUAAACAUAGUAGGUUUAAAAUGGCUAUCAUUGUGCAACAUUAGAUAGUGAUCCAUUUAGAAUGUGUAAUUAUGUUUUUCAUAUGGUAUAGUCCUCUUUUAGACUUUUUAAUAAGCUGUUUGCAGUCAGCAUUUACUGUAUUUGGUAGUCAGUGUUUACCGUAGUUUGGGAAGCAUAUUGUAAGUGGUAGAAAGACAUAACUUGUAAGAAUAGGACUGAAUGUAAGUGGUGAGUUGGAUGUUUUCAGUUGGGACACACAGGAUCAGCUUGCACAAACUUCUUACUUAAUAGGUAUUAUAAUUAAGGUUUAGAGGAAUGAAAUGAUUUGCUAAAAUGGCUAGAGUCAUAACUGGAACUCAAGGCUCCUGACUUCUGGUGUUGUGGUAUACUGCUUCUCUUUACAAUUCUUACUUAUUUGAAGAAUGUAUGGCACAUCUAUUUAAAUGUUCCCAGUAUCAGAUUUUUCUUAUGUCUAAUACUAUUUUCAAAUAGUGUAUGCGCUCUAGUCUUAUUUGAAGCACUUUAGAAAAUGUUCAUAAGUAUUAGAAACACGUUUUAGACUCUAAAUUUCUAUCAAGAUGAGGUUUAAUAGUAAUGAAUAAUAAUAAAGAGUCUUUUUCAUGGUCUUGAUGCCACUAUCUCGAUUUUUCACGACUUAUUUGUCUCAUUUCAGCUUACCUUUUAAAUCAUUCUUGGUUAUUCGUUAUUUAGGGCACAACAAAUAUCUUGACAGUACCAUUCAAAUAUAGUUCCAUUAGAAUAUCUAGAGGUGGCUAAGAACCCCAGCUCACCAUGACAUUAUCACCCAGGCUCUAUCUCCCUAGCAUAAAGAGUGAACUUCAGUUUCCAUUGCUGGCUGUGUAGUGCCUAAAAUGAAUUAACACAUAUUUCUUAUUCCUAGAGUUGAAAAGUGGUAGGAAAAAAACAUUAAAUUGUCAGAUGCUGAAAACAAGAGUUCUAUACUUAGGGUGGAUACACAUUUCUGGAAUUUUGCUAGAGGUUAUGCAAUCAAUUGUGCCUUUAAUUGUAUUCUUACUUUUAUGGUGAUGUGAUAUCAAAAAGAUUGGGUUGAUUAAGUGAAAAAUAUAAAUCAGUAUACCUGGGUAUUUACACAGAGAAUAUAACCGAGUAGUGUCCUUAAUGGUUAUGUAAUACCAAAAUACUAAAACCACACAGAUGAUUUAAGUUGGAUUAAUAUCUUGAAACUACAUUUUUUGGUCACAUACUGGGAACACAAAUUGUUUUGUCCAUCUUAGUGAUCUACAGGAUUAUCAGCAACUAUGACAGUAGAAUGGGAAAAUUUCUUUGUUAAGAUUGUAGAAAAUGACAUGAAUUAUUGUAGUCCUAUUGAAUUUAUGUCAAUAACUUUUGAGUGUUUAUGUAUACUGUCAGGCAGGUUUGCAUUACUUCAUAUUAGUUGUGUUUUUUGGAAUGUGUUUUCAGUGCUGCACAGGUUUUACAUGGCACAUUGCAUUCUAUGAAAACGUCUCUCUCCAUUUCAGGACCAAGAAGUCUAUAUGAAAGCUCCAUUAUUCAUAUAAAAAACUGUUGUAAGCAGUCUCGCAGUGGCUUAGGUAUUAAUCAUAAUACUGAGUUUUAUUAGUUGAGGCCCUUAAAGACCUUACUUCUUCCAGGAAAAGGCACUGUCAUAUAUUGUCAUCAACACUUCAUAUAUAGGCAUACUUUUUGGAGAUAUUGCCAGUUUGGUUCUAGACCACUGCAAUAAAGCAAAUUUCACAGUAAAGCAAGUCAUGAAUGUUUUGGUUUCUCAAUGCAUAUAAAACUUAUGCCUAUACUAUAUCAUAGUCUAUUUAGUGUACAACAGCAUUAUGUCUAAAAAAAGUACAUGGCUUAAUUAAAAGAUACUUUAUUGCUAAAAUAGUGCUAACAAUCAUCCACGCCUUCAGUGGGUAAUAAUCUUUUUGCUGGUAGAGGGUCUUGCCUCGAUGUUGAGGGCUGUUGACUGAUGAGGGUAGUGGUUGCUGAAGAUUAGGGUGGCUGCUGCAAUUUCUUAAAAUAAGACAAUGAAGUUUGCACAUCAGUUGACUAUUUCCUUCACCAAAGAUUUCUCUGUAGUACAUGAUGCAAGUUACCAGUAUUUUAGCUAUAGUAGAACUUCUUUCAAAAUUGUAGUCAAUCUUUUCAAACCCUGCUCUGCUUUACUAACUAAGUGUAUGGAAUAUUCUAAAUUCUUUAUUGUCAUUUUAACAUUGUUAACAGCAUCUUCAUCUCAUGAAACCAUUUUAUUUACUCAUCCAGAAAAAGGAACCUCUCAUCUGUUCAAGUUUGAUUAUGAGAUGGCAGCAAUUCAGGCUCCACUUCUAAUUCUAGUUCUUUUACUGUCUCUACCACAUAUGCAAUUACUUCCCCCACUGAUGACUUGAACCCCUCAAGUCAUCCAUCAGGAUUGGAAUCAACUUCUUCCAAACUCCUGUUAACGUCAAUAUUUUGACCACCUCCCAUGAAUUUCAAAUGUUCUUAAUGGCAUCUAGAAUGGUGAAUUCUUUCGAGAAGAUUGUCAGUUGACUUUGCUCAGAUCUGUCAGAGGGAUCACUAUUUACAGUAGUUAUAGACUUAUGAAAUGUAUUUCUUAAAUAAUAAGACUCAAGGAGGUAGCUGGCAAGAUGACCAAAUAGGAACAGUUUGGUCUGCAGCUCCUAGCGAGAUCAACACAGAAGGCACAUGAUUUCUGGAUUUCUAACUGAGGUACCUGGCUCAUCUCAGUGGGACUGGAUAGACAGUGGGUGUAGCCCAUAGAGGGUGAGCUGAAGCAGGGUGGGGCAGUGCCUUACCUGGGAAGCACAAGGGGUUAGGGAACUCUCUCCCAUAGCCAAAGGAAGCUGUGAGGGACUGUGCCAUGAAGGAUAGUGCAGACUGGCCCAGAUACUGCACUUACCUCACAGUCUUUGCAACCCACAGACCAGGAGAUUCCCCUGGGUGCCUACAGCACCAGGGCCCUUGGUUUCAGGCACAAAACUGGGUGGCCAUUUGGGCAGUCACUGAGCUAGCUGCAGGAAUUUUUGUUUUUAAAUAUAUAUAUACUCCAGUGGUGCCUGAAACACCGGCAAGACAGAACUGUUCAAUCCCCUGGAAAGGGGGCUGAAGCCGGGAAGCCAAGUGGUCUAGUUCAGCAGACCCCACCCCCAUGGAACCCAGAAAGCUAAGAUCCACUGGCUUGUAAUUCUUGCUGCCAGCACAGCAGUCUGAAGUUUACCUAGGAUGAUGGAGCUUGGUGGAGGGAGGGGCGUCUGCCAUUACUGAGGCUUGAGUAGGCAGUUUUACCCUCACAAUGUAAACAAAGCUGCCGGGAAGUUAGGACUGGAUGGAGCCCACUGCAGCUUGGCAAAGCUGCUGUAGCCAGACUCCCUCUCUAGAUUCUUCCUCUCUGGGCAGGGCAUCUCUGAAAAAAAAGGCAGCAAUUCUAGUAAGGGGCUUAUCGAUAAAACUCCCAUCUCCCUGGGACAGAGCAGCUGGGGGAAGGGGCAGCUGUAAGUGCAGCUUCAGCAGACUUAAAUGUUCCUGCCUGCUGGCUCUGAAGAGAAUAGUGGAUCCCCCAAUCCAGUGCUCAAGCUCUGCUAAGGGACAGACUGCCUCCGCAAUUGGGUCCCUGACCCCCAUGCCUCCUGAUGGGGAAAAACCUCCCAGCAGAGGUUGACAGACACCUCAUAACAGGAGAGCUCUGGCUGGCAUCUGGCAGGUGCCCCUCUGGAUGAAGCCUCCAGAGGAAGGAACAGGCAGCAAUAUUUGCUGUUCUGCAGCCUCUACCAGUGAUACCCAGGCAAACAGGGUCUGGAGUGUACCUCCAGGAAACUCCAGCAGACCUGCUGCAGAAGGGGCCUGACUUUUAGAAGGAAAACUAACAAACAAAAAGGAAUAGCAUCAACAUCAACAAAAAGGAUGUCCACACCAAAAUCCCAUCUGAAGAUCACCAACAUCAAAGACUGAAGGUAGAUAAAUCCACAAAGAUGAGGAAAAAACAGCACAAAAGGCUGAAAAUUCCCAAAACCAGAACACCUCAUCUCCACCAAAGGACCACAACUCAUUGCCAGCAAGGAAACAAAACUGAAUGGAGGAGUUUGAUGAAUUGACAGAAGUAGACUUCAGAAGGUGGGAAAUAACAAACUCCUCCAAACUAAAGAAGCAUGGGCUAACUCAAUGCAAGGAAGGUAAGAACUUUGAAGAAAGGUUAGAGGAAUUACCAACUAGAAUAACCAUUUUAGAGAAGAACAUGAGUGAACUAAUGGAACUGAAAAAUACAGCACAACAACGUCAUGAAGCAUACACAAGUAUCAAUAGCCAAAUCGAUCAGGCAGAAGAAAGGAUAUCAGAGAUUGAAGGUCAACUCAAUGAAAUAAAGUGAAAAGACAAGAUUAGAGAAAAAAAGAGUAAAAAAAAACCAAACCCUCCAAGAAAUGUGGGACUAUGUGAAAAGACCAAAUCUAUGUUUGAUUGGUGUACUGAAAGUGACUGGGAGAAUGGAACCAAGUUGGAAACACUCUUCAAGAUAUUAUCCAGGAGAACUUCCCAAACUUAGAAAGGCCAACAUUUAAAUUCAGGAAAUACAGAGAAUGCCACAAAGAUACUCCUCAAGAAGAGCAACCCCAGAACACAUAAUUGUCAGAUUCUCCAAGUUUGAAAUGAAGGAAAAAAAGUUAAGGGCAGCCAAAAGAAAGGUCGAAUUACCCGUAAAGGGAAGCCCAUCAGACUAACAUCAGAUCUCUCUGCAGAAACCCUACAAGCCAGAAGAGAGUGGGGGCUAAUAUUCAGCAUUCUUAAAGAAAAGAAUUUUCAACCUGGAAUUUCAUAUCCAGCCAAACUAAGCUUCAUAAGCAAGGAAUACAUAUAAUCCUCUACAGACAAACAAAUGCUGAAAGAUUUUGUCAACACCAGGCCUGCCUUACAAGAGCUCCUGAAGGAAGCACUAAUUAAGGAAAGGAAAAAUUGAUACCAGCCACUGCAAAAACAUACUGACCUGUAAAGACCAUCCACACUAUGAAGAAACUGCAUCAAGUAAUGUGCAAAAUAACCAGCUAGCAUCAUAAUGACAGGAUCAAAUUUAUACAUAAAAAUAUUAAACUUAAAUGUAAAUGGACUAAAUACCCCAAUUAAAAGACACAGAUUGGCCGGGCGCAGUGGCUCACGCCUGUAAUCCCAGCACUUUGGGAGGCUGAGGCAGGUGGAUCACGAGGUCAAGAGAUCAAGACCAUCCUGGUCAACAUGGUGAAACCCCGUCUCUACUAAAAAUACAAAAAAUUAGCUGGGCACGGUGGUGUGUGCCUGUAAGCCCAGCUACUCAGGAGGCUAAGGCAGGAGAAUUGCCUGAACCCAGGAGGCAGAGGUUGCGGUGAGCCGAGAUUGUGCCAUUGCACUCCAGCCUGGGUAACAAGAGCGAAACUCCAUCUCAAAAAAAAAAAAAAAAAAAAGACAAAA
This is a non-coding RNA of Callithrix jacchus (white-tufted-ear marmoset), 15326 nucleotides long. The record is from RefSeq and is a predicted model, not a curated record. NCBI's taxonomy places the organism in Eukaryota, Metazoa, Chordata, Mammalia, Primates, Cebidae.